AGAUUGAACGCUGGCGGCAUGCCUAACACAUGCAAGUCGAACGGGAGUAGCAAUACUCUAGUGGCGGACGGGUGAGGAAUACGUAGGAAUUUGCCCUUAAGUGGGGGAUAACCCGGGGAAACCCGGAUUAAUACCGCAUGACCUCGAAAGAGCAAAGUGGGGGAUCGCAAGACCUCACGCUUUUGGAGAAGCCUACGUCGGAUUAGCUAGUUGGUGAGGUAAUGGCUCACCAAGGCGACGAUCCGUAACUGGUCCGAGAGGAUGAUCAGUCACACCGGAACUGAGACACGGUCCGACUCCUACGGGAGCAGCAGUGGGGAAUAGUUGGACAAUGGGCGCAAGCCUGACGUCCAGGCAAUGGCCGCGUGUCGACGAAGAACGGCCGUUCGGUUGUAAAGCUACGUUUAAGUUAGGGAAAGUAAAAAACCGUACGACUACGUAACAC
Molecule: ribosomal RNA, 445 nt
Filed under: uncultured soil bacterium
Lineage: Bacteria
Description: bacterial SSU rRNA
Rfam family: Bacterial small subunit ribosomal RNA
Source: RNAcentral